GAAAGGCUGUGCGGGAGCGCAGCUGGAUGCGUCAUACCGGCAUCCCAUUUAGG
The submitters of this non-coding RNA (53 nucleotides) gave its source as unclassified sequences. The record is from Rfam.